CCCUGGGGUGGCACAGCCAUGAGCUGCGUCUCCAUCCCUGCCCCAACGCCGCUGCCAGUGGGUCGCAAGCGAAGGCGAGCAUCAAGUCGGGUUUGUUCCCCUUGGGAUGGGCCCUACUGCACCAUGGCCUUCAAUGAGUGGGGACGGGCUCAGUGCCACGGGCUCACAGCGGUCGGGCCGGUUGGGACGGUCCGGGUGCAUUCCCACAAACCCCUCACAUUUCCGGACACGUGAAAGCAGGGAUGGUCUUGCCUCGUCCUGGCACUGACCCACUGCAGAAAGCGCAGCGCUCGCUCGCAGACACUUCCCGGGCUGCAAACCCCAGCGGCCACCAGCACCUGGUACCCCAGCCCCAUCGUGCGCUGCUGGGAGCAGAGAGGGGACCGCUGGCCGAACGCCUCGGCUCCGGAUUGACGCCAGGAGCACCAGGUCGGACGCCUCGCUGCAGCCCCAUGAACUUCCUCUCCCAGGUGAGCGCCGUGGUCAAGGCCGUGCCCGGAGUGGACGGGCUGUUCCUCCAGCCCUGGAGCUGGCUGCGCGCAUGGGUGCGACAGGUUUGGGGCGCUGAUGGAGGCAAUGCUGCUGUGGGGACCCCAGGGUAGAGUACGCUGGUCUCAAGGGGCCGCGCAGAUGCUAUGGACGGUGUCGCGGCCACCAGCGCCAGGUUUGGGACAGUGGGUCAGGGCAGGAGGAGG
RNAcentral lists this long non-coding RNA (695 nucleotides) under Struthio camelus australis. Its description in RNAcentral is "lncRNA (ENSSCUG00000004951.1)". The record is from RNAcentral. Lineage: Eukaryota; Metazoa; Chordata; Aves; Struthioniformes; Struthionidae.